UACGUAGGGUGCGAGCGUUGUCCGGAAUUACUGGGCGUAAAGAGCUCGUAGGUGGUUUGUCGCGUCGUCUGUGAAAUUCCGGGGCUCAACUCCGGGCGUGCAGGCGAUACGGGCAUAACUUGAGUGCUGUAGGGGAGACUGGAAUUCCUGGUGUAGCGGUGAAAUGCGCAGAUAUCAGGAGGAACACCGAUGGCGAAGGCAGGUCUCUGGGCAGUAACUGACGCUGAGGAGCGAAAGCAUGGGUAGCGAACAGG
Molecule: ribosomal RNA, 254 nt
Filed under: uncultured bacterium
Lineage: Bacteria
Description: partial 16S ribosomal RNA
Rfam family: Bacterial small subunit ribosomal RNA
Source: RNAcentral